This 408-nucleotide long non-coding RNA is filed under the name Taeniopygia guttata (zebra finch). RNAcentral's name for it is "lncRNA (ENSTGUG00000021712.1)". The record is from RNAcentral. Lineage: Eukaryota; Metazoa; Chordata; Aves; Passeriformes; Estrildidae.
AUUAUAUUAACUACUGCUAUGAAAGCAUCAGGACCUCCACAACAAGGAGCUGCAGGUCUUGGCACACCGUGGAGUGAUGAAUUUCCUGAGGAGUCUCCACUCUGUGGAUGUUCCUGCAUGAGGUAGGAAGGAGCUGGAGAAACAAGUAGAAGGAAACAUGAACUUCUGAUCAGCUGUGCCUUACCUUGGUUUUAUUGAAGAGAGAAGUAGAAAUAAACUUCUUCAAGGAUUAAGAGUUAGAACUAGGGGGUCUCUAACUGAGGAAAUUUUUAAGAAGUCUCUUUCCAUCUUUUAAGGAUCAUUAAAAAAACCCAUGAACCACUCCACGGACCUGAUGACUAAAGGCCAUCUAAUUAAUUACAGCUCUGUAAAACAAGUAAUUAGCCACAUUUGGGAAGACACUGAAUU